RNAcentral lists this long non-coding RNA (296 nucleotides) under Bos taurus (domestic cattle). RNAcentral describes it as "long non-coding RNA NONBTAT025862". The record is from RNAcentral. Lineage: Eukaryota; Metazoa; Chordata; Mammalia; Artiodactyla; Bovidae.
UGUGGCCCUAAUGACUGACAUCACAGAGGAUGGGAGGAAAUCUCUUCUAAGGGAUGAGGUGUCUCUUGGGGGAAUAUGGGAAUAAUCAAAAAGUGUUUUUGGAGCAUCAGUAGGAACUGAGUAGGUGUUAAAGAUUGACCUAUUAUCUUACCUAAAGAAACCAUCUGUCCUUAACCUUAUCUCUUCUAAAGCUUUGAGAUAAAUAUACAUAUCUAAUAUUCACUAGUGACCACAAUUUAUCUCAAUAUUAAUUUUUUCUGUUGUCAGUUCAUAUGCAUAAUAUUUUUGUUUAACAC